Molecule: ribosomal RNA, 500 nt
Filed under: uncultured bacterium
Lineage: Bacteria
Description: bacterial SSU rRNA
Rfam family: Bacterial small subunit ribosomal RNA
Source: RNAcentral
UUGGUUCAGGAUGAACGCUGGCGGCGUGCCUAAUACAUGCAAGUGAAACGGGUAUCUUCGGAUACCAGUCGCGGACGGGUGAGUAAUACAUAGGCAACCUGCCUUUAUGAGGGGGAUAACCGAGGGAAACUUUGGCUAAUACCGCAUGAAGACUCUAAGGCAUCUUAGAGGGAUAAAAGUUGGGAAACAACGCAUGAAGAUGGGCUUAUGGCGCAUUAGCUAGUUGGUGAGAUAGAAGCCCACCAAGGUAAUGAUGCGUAGCCGACCUGAGAGGGUGAACGGCCACAUUGGGACUGAGACACGGCCCAAACUCCUACGGGAGGCAGCAGUAGGGAAUUUUCGGCAAUGGGGGGAACCCUGACCGAGCAACGCCGCGUGAAGGAAGAAGGUUUUCGGAUUGUAAACUUCUGUUAUAAGGGAAGAACGGAUUGGAUAGGGAAUGAUCUGAUAGUGACGGUACCUUAUUAGAAAGCCACGGCUAACUACGUGCCAGCCGCCGC